This 730-nucleotide ribosomal RNA is filed under the name bacterium SCSIO13276. Its description in RNAcentral is "bacterial SSU rRNA". It matches the Rfam family "Bacterial small subunit ribosomal RNA", at positions 76 to 817 of the family's 1533-position model. The record is from RNAcentral.
CAGCUUGCUGGGUGGAUCAGUGGCGAACGGGUGAGUAACACGUGAGCAACCUGCCCUCCACUUCGGGAUAAGCCUUGGAAACGGGGUCUAAUACCGGAUAUGAGCACAUGGCGCAUGUCGUGUGUUGGAAAGUUUUUCGGUGGGGGAUGGGCUCGCGGCCUAUCAGCUUGUUGGUGGGGUGAUGGCCUACCAAGGCGUCGACGGGUAGCCGGCCUGAGAGGGCGACCGGCCACACUGGGACUGAGACACGGCCCAGACUCCUACGGGAGGCAGCAGUGGGGAAUAUUGCACAAUGGGCGAAAGCCUGAUGCAGCGACGCCGCGUGAGGGAUGACGGCCUUCGGGUUGUAAACCUCUUUCAGCAGGGAAGAAGGCCUUCGGGUGGACGGUACCUGCAGAAGAAGCGCCGGCUAACUACGUGCCAGCAGCCGCGGUAAUACGUAGGGCGCAAGCGUUGUCCGGAAUUAUUGGGCGUAAAGAGCUCGUAGGCGGUUUGUCGCGUCUGGUGUGAAAACCUCAGGCUCAACCUGGGGCGUGCAUCGGGUACGGGCAGACUAGAGUGCGGUAGGGGAGACUGGAAUUCCUGGUGUAGCGGUGGAAUGCGCAGAUAUCAGGAGGAACACCGAUGGCGAAGGCAGGUCUCUGGGCCGCAACUGACGCUGAGGAGCGAAAGCAUGGGGAGCGAACAGGAUUAGAUACCCUGGUAGUCCAUGCCGUAAACGUUGGGCACU